GCUGGUAUAGAAGCACCUACCUUCUAAAGACUUCCUCUAUAAAUCAAAAUUGUCACUUCUUAUAGUCCCCCCUCCGUUGAACCGCUUUGAUCAACUCAUCCGACAACACCAUAGUUCUACGUAUCCUCUGUGGUAGUCAUCUCGCUGCCCCAAUCCCAGAGCCAGGGCAAAAGUGUGAGUGGGAAAUGUUUUCUAAGUAUCUGCUAAUUGUGCUGCAUGCAUUUUUAAUGUCAUUUACCUUUUGGAACCGCUUGUGCCCUCGGUUGGUUUCUAAUUAAAAUGCACACCAACGGACGACAGAAGGUGGGUGGCAGGGGUGCAGGGCGGCCAAGAGUCAGCAUCUUCUUCAUUAUCAACAACUUUCAACCUCAUCAAAACGACUGGCACUUGGGAAAUUAAUUGCUGACUCUGACUCAUGCCACUUGCACUCUCAUCGGGCUCCCAGCACCCAGCACCCAUCUUCAAUCUUCGCAUCGUCCAUCCUCUGGCUCUUGAAGAUACUCGACACGUUGGCGCAAUAAAAAUAAAACUCAUUACGAUAAAUUGCAUAAGGAAAGAGGAAAAAAAAGAGAAAAAAAACGAGGCAGUAACAGAAAAAGAAAACCCAGAAAAGGUCGCUGCAGUGAUUCAAAGGAAAUUCUCAAAAGUCGUUUCAAUUAAUAUUUGAUUCGCUGGUCACUCGACUCAUCAUUCGCCUCAAUUCAAAGCGAAACUCAAAGGCGAAUUACAUUUUCGUUUUCGUUUUCAUUUGAAUUUUGAAUUCGUGGACAUCUGCCUGUAGCGUAGCUGUGGAUGUAUCUGUAUCUGUAAUUAAGCAAAAAGGAAUCCGAAAUCAGAAGCAAGUUUGUGCAAUCGCUGCUUUGGCUUCAAUGGAAUCAGGUGGCUUGUCAGGCCCGUGAUUGAUGUGGCGGCUUUUCGUGCAGCUCGCUCUCUGCCAUAUUUGGUGAAGUCAGAGCCUCCGUUCCAGUCCGAUGUCGAUGUCGAUGUCGAUGUCGUAUCUGAGUCUGCGUCUCCAACUGCCGCCGUCGACUGCCUCUCUGUGUCGGUGAUAAAUUGUUGCUCAAACAAUGCGUAUGUCUUUUCAAAAUAAAAUCAUAAACUUGUAG
Long non-coding RNA from Drosophila persimilis, 1106 nucleotides. RefSeq lists it as uncharacterized. The record is from RefSeq and is a predicted model, not a curated record. The transcript is spliced from 3 exons. NCBI's taxonomy places the organism in Eukaryota, Metazoa, Arthropoda, Insecta, Diptera, Drosophilidae.